AAAAUCAAUGAAUUGCAAACCAGCCUUUAUCUGCUGUUCCAUGGCUUCUUGAUUUACCUCCUCAUCAUCCCUUCUUGCAAUGUCUAUCACUUCACUUCUACUAGAGUCUGUUUUCACUUGGAGAAAAUCAUAAAACUCAAAAGCCUGUUUUUUACCUUCAAGGUGACUGGGAUUCUCAUUGCUUUGGCAAAAGGAUCGAAGAUAGUUGCGAGGAAAAGUAUGCUGAUUAUAGUAUCUACUGCAGUAUUUACCGACAAAUGAGGCAAGAUUGGUAGUUUGGGAGUUGAACAACACACGAUCUUGUUUGAAGGAAGAGCAAUGGUUUUGGUCGUUAACUAAAGUUUGA
Molecule: unclassified non-coding RNA, 346 nt
Filed under: Hevea brasiliensis (rubber tree)
Lineage: Eukaryota; Viridiplantae; Streptophyta; Magnoliopsida; Malpighiales; Euphorbiaceae
Source: RNAcentral